GGGAAACGGCGUACAGCUCAGUAAUACUGCGAUGAUCUGGUCAGGCGCUACGAUAACCACGGGAAACUGUGGCUAACAGGCCUGGAUGAGACGCGGGUCUAUCAGCUAGUUGGUAGUGUAAUGGACUACCAAGGCGACGACGGAUGACGGGAGAUGGGGGUCUGAUUCCGGAGAGGGAGCCUGAGAGAUAGCUCCCACGUCCAUGGACGGCAGCAGGCGCGGAAAUUGCCCACUCUCUUCGCGGAGGAGGCGGUUAAGAGGCGUGAGCACAAGGACCGACGGCAAAGAAGUCGGUGAACGCGAUUGGAGGGCAAGUUCGGUGCCAGCAGCCGCGGUAAUACCGACUCCAAGAGUGUCUGUGAUUGAUGCUGCAGUUAAAAAGUCCGUAGUCGUGAUGCAGGGGAAGGCCGUGGGUCGAGCACGGCAGGCCUGCAUGCGAUGUGUCCAGCAAUGGAGACAUCAUGGCGGAGCGGGUGGGGGGCGCAGUAUAGGUGGGCGAGAGAUGAAAUGACCAAGACCCCAUCUGGACUGACGGAGGCGAAGGCGGCGCCCCAGCACGCGUCUGAGGAUCAAGGACGAAGGCCGGAGGAUCGAAAGUGAUUAGAGACCGCUGUAGUUCCGGCAGUAAACGAUGUCGACGCCGCGUGGCCUUCCGGGCCGCGUGGGUGGGAAACCUCAAGUGUUCGGACUCUGGGGAUAGUAUGCUCGCAAGGGUGAAAAUUGAAGAAAUUGACGGAGCUACACCACAAGGAGUGGAUUGUGCGGCUUAAUUUGACUCAACGCGGGGAAACUUACCAUCACCAAGCGCCGCAGAGACUGGCCACACGAGCGGCGCGCGAGUAAUGCAUGGUCGUUGGAAACCUGUGGGGUGACCUUUGGCUUAAGUGCCUGAAUGGGUGAGAUCUCCUGGACGGGUGCCUGAGCGGCGCAGGAGGGCGGAGGCGAUAACAGAUCAGUGAUGUUCUCAGAUGCGGUGGGCUGCACGCGCGAUACAGUGUGUGACGCGGACACAGAUGGACUGUCACACCAGGUCGGGACUGGGCUCUGGUACGGGCCCACGAACGAGGAAUUCCUAGUAACUGCGGCUCA
This 1089-nucleotide ribosomal RNA is filed under the name Microsporidium sp. RR2. Its description in RNAcentral is "SSU rRNA". It matches the Rfam family "Microsporidia small subunit ribosomal RNA", at positions 71 to 1153 of the family's 1311-position model. Lineage: Eukaryota; Fungi; Microsporidia. The record is from RNAcentral.